Tripterygium wilfordii is the source of this 394-nucleotide long non-coding RNA. RefSeq lists it as uncharacterized. The record is from RefSeq and is a predicted model, not a curated record. Lineage: Eukaryota; Viridiplantae; Streptophyta; Magnoliopsida; Celastrales; Celastraceae. The transcript is spliced from 4 exons.
UGAGCGGCUUCUCUCUCAGUGGUUCUUCGGCUCUCCUUCUCUUUAGGGUUCACGAUGAGUGUCUGCUAUUUGGUUCUCUGCUCGCCUUCUCCCAUCUAGAGUUAAUUGGACGCGAUUAUUCUUCUCCCGGACAUUCUCAUUCAGAUUAGAGGGACUAGUGAACUGGCUCAAGAGGUGUCCCUUUGUUCUGUAAUUUGUACAAGAAUUAGUGGAGUGCCUUAGCUAUUUUGGACUAUUUUGUGGAGGUGAUAACUUUGGAGCAGAUUUUUGAGAUUAAGCAUGUAAUCAGAUUGAAGUGUGGUAGAACAUUUUAAUUAAGUGAUAGUGAUAAACUUUUUCUUAUUAUGGAGUAAACUUUAAAAUGUACUCGUAUGUGAACGUUAUUUGAUGAUUG